This 615-nucleotide ribosomal RNA is filed under the name uncultured organism. Its description in RNAcentral is "bacterial SSU rRNA". It matches the Rfam family "Bacterial small subunit ribosomal RNA", at positions 8 to 618 of the family's 1533-position model. The record is from RNAcentral.
AGAGUUUGAUCCUGGCUCAGAUUGAACGCUGGCGGCAGGCUUAACACAUGCAAGUCGAGCGGAGAUGAGGUGCUUGCACCUUAUCUUAGCGGCGGACGGGUGAGUAAUGCUUAGGAAUCUGCCUAUUAGUGGGGGACAACAUUCCGAAAGGAAUGCUAAUACCGCAUACGUCCUACGGGAGAAAGCAGGGGAUCUUCGGACCUUGCGCUAAUAGAUGAGCCUAAGUCGGAUUAGCUAGUUGGUGGGGUAAAGGCCUACCAAGGCGACGAUCUGUAGCGGGUCUGAGAGGAUGAUCCGCCACACUGGGACUGAGACACGGCCCAGACUCCUACGGGAGGCAGCAGUGGGGAAUAUUGGACAAUGGGGGGAACCCUGAUCCAGCCAUGCCGCGUGUGUGAAGAAGGCCUUAUGGUUGUAAAGCACUUUAAGCGAGGAGGAGGCUACUGAGACUAAUACUCUUGGAUAGUGGACGUACUCGCAGAAUAAGCACCGGCUAACUCUGUGCCAGCAGCCGCGGUAAUACAGAGGGUGCGAGCGUUAAUCGGAUUUACUGGGCGUAAAGCGUGCGUAGGCGGCUUUUUAAGUCGGAUGUGAAAUCCCCGAGCUUAACUUGGG